UGGGGAAUAUUGCACAAUGGGCGGAAGCCUGAUGCAGCGACGCCGCGUGGGGGAUGAAGGCCUUCGGGUUGUAAACUCCUUUCGACAGGGACGAAGCUUUUGUGACGGUACCUGUAUAAGAAGCACCGGCUAACUACGUGCCAGCAGCCGCGGUAAUACGUAGGGUGCGAGCGUUGUCCGGAAUUACUGGGCGUAAAGAGCUCGUAGGUGGUUUGUCGCGUCGUCUGUGAAAUUCCGGGGCUUAACUCCGGGCGUGCAGGCGAUACGGGCUGACUUGAGUGCUGUAGGGGAGACUGGAAUUCCUGGUGUAGCGGUGAAGUGCGCAGAUAUCAGGAGGAACACCGAUGGCGAAGGCAGGUCUCUGGGCAGUAACUGACGCUGAGGAGCGAAAGCAUGGGUAGCGAACAGGAUUAGAUACCCUGGUAGUCCAUGCCGUAAACGGUGGGCGCUAGGUGUAGGGGGCUUCCACGUCUUCUGUGCCGUAGCUAACGCAUUAAGCGCCCCGCCUGGGGAGUACGGCCGCAAGGCU
This 529-nucleotide ribosomal RNA is filed under the name uncultured bacterium. RNAcentral describes it as "bacterial SSU rRNA". It matches the Rfam family "Bacterial small subunit ribosomal RNA", at positions 355 to 895 of the family's 1533-position model. The record is from RNAcentral.